GAUCCUGGCUCAGGAUGAACGCUGGCGGCGUGCCUAACACAUGCAAGUCGAACGAAGCAUUUUGAAUGAAGUUUUCGGAUGGAUUUUAAGAUGACUGAGUGGCGGACGGGUGAGUAACACGUGGAUAACCUGCCUCACACUGGGGGACAACAGUUAGAAAUGACUGCUAAUACCGCAUAAGCGCACAGUACCGCAUGGUACAGUGUGAAAAACUCCGGUGGUGUGAGAUGGAUCCG
RNAcentral lists this ribosomal RNA (236 nucleotides) under uncultured bacterium. RNAcentral's name for it is "partial 16S ribosomal RNA". It matches the Rfam family "Bacterial small subunit ribosomal RNA", at positions 15 to 233 of the family's 1533-position model. The record is from RNAcentral.